This 24-nucleotide non-coding RNA is filed under the name Gossypium hirsutum (cotton). Lineage: Eukaryota; Viridiplantae; Streptophyta; Magnoliopsida; Malvales; Malvaceae. The record is from RNAcentral.
AGUCCGAAUACCUCCAAUAAGUGC